UCUUCGGAGAGUUUGAUCCUGGCUCAGGACGAACGCUGGCGGCGUGCCUAAUACAUGCAAGUCGAGCGAAUCGACGGGAGCUUGCUCCCUGAGAUUAGCGGCGGACGGGUGAGUA
This 115-nucleotide ribosomal RNA is filed under the name Peribacillus frigoritolerans. RNAcentral describes it as "partial 16S ribosomal RNA". It matches the Rfam family "Bacterial small subunit ribosomal RNA", at positions 1 to 112 of the family's 1533-position model. Lineage: Bacteria; Bacillati; Bacillota; Bacilli; Caryophanales; Bacillaceae. The record is from RNAcentral.